GGGCUGGGGCUCAGCGGUAGAGCGCUCACCUAGCACAUGUGAGUUCCUGGGUUUGAUCCUCAGCACCACA
Molecule: transfer RNA, 70 nt
Filed under: Marmota monax (woodchuck)
Lineage: Eukaryota; Metazoa; Chordata; Mammalia; Rodentia; Sciuridae
Description: tRNA.Ala
Source: RNAcentral